GCAGGGGUAGCAAAGCCCGGUCAAAUGCGGAGGACUCAAGAUCCUUUCCCUUAGGGGUUCGAGGGUUCGAAUCCCUCCCCCUGCA
Molecule: transfer RNA, 85 nt
Filed under: Nitrososphaerota archaeon
Lineage: Archaea; Thermoproteati; Nitrososphaerota
Description: Thaumarchaeota archaeon tRNA-Leu
Rfam family: tRNA
About the family: Transfer RNA (tRNA) molecules are approximately 80 nucleotides in length.
Source: RNAcentral